GAUGAACGCUGGCGGCGUGCCUAAUACAUGCAAGUCGAGCGAACAGAUAAGGAGCUUGCUCCUUUGACGUUAGCGGCGGACGGGUGAGUAACACGUGGAUAACCUACCUAUAAGACUGGGAUAACUUCGGGAAACCGGAGCUAAUACCGGAUAACAUAUUGAACCGCAUGGUUCAAUAGUGAAAGGCGGCUUUGCUGUCGCUUAUAGAUGGAUCCGCGCCGUAUUAGCUAGUUGGUAAGGUAACGGCUUACCAAGGCAACGAUACGUAGCCGACCUGAGAGGGUGAUCGGCCACACUGGAACUGAGACACGGUCCAGACUCCUACGGGAGGCAGCAGUAGGGAAUCUUCCGCAAUGGGCGAAAGCCUGACGGAGCAACGCCGCGUGAGUGAUGAAGGUCUUCGGAUCGUAAAACUCUGUUAUCAGGGAAGAACAAAUGUGUAAGUAACUGUGCACAUCUUGACGGUACCUGAUCAGAAAGCCACGGCUAACUAUGUG
This 497-nucleotide ribosomal RNA is filed under the name uncultured bacterium. RNAcentral describes it as "partial 16S ribosomal RNA". It matches the Rfam family "Bacterial small subunit ribosomal RNA", at positions 28 to 507 of the family's 1533-position model. The record is from RNAcentral.